This is a long non-coding RNA of Mauremys mutica (yellowpond turtle), 429 nucleotides long. RefSeq lists it as uncharacterized. The record is from RefSeq and is a predicted model, not a curated record. The transcript is spliced from 5 exons. NCBI's taxonomy places the organism in Eukaryota, Metazoa, Chordata, Testudines, Geoemydidae.
CUUUGGUGUAAGAUCUAGAAUGCAAUUUGAGCUGGGUGAGGGCACGUCUGCAGUGCAAAAGGCUUUACACAUUUUUUGCAAAGAAAGCAAUGAUUCCAUCGCCUUCCAUCCUACAAAAAAGAUUUUAUGAAUGGCUGAACAGCUUCUUCACAUCAAGUACUCGAGUCUCAACAGAAUGUUAAGUAUGCAAAAUAAAAAAGUGGUUUGGAUGCAGACUUCACUUACUCUUUUGUAAAGGCCCUCUUCCAGCUUAAGAAAUAAGACACCUGAGGCACAAACUGUCCAUUUCAGACUGACAUUUAUUGCAAGAGGAAAAGAAAGGCUUCCUGCUAUGAAAGGUCUGUGUGAAUGCAUUACUCAGAUGAACAAUUCGGCCCUGACUUCCAGUACUACUUCGCUCCACAACCACGCGUGGCAUCUGCACUAGCU